AGGGAAUCUUGCGCAAUGGGCGAAUGCCUGACGCAGCGAUACCGCGUGAGUGAGGAAGGCCUUCGGGUUGUAAAGCUCUGUCCUAGGGGAAAAAUGACAUAUAUGAUAAUAGUAUGUAUGUUUGAUGGUACCUUAGAAGAAAGCACCGGCUAACUUCGUGCCAGCAGCCGCGGUAAUACGAAGGGUGCAAGCGUUGUUCGGAUUUAUUGGGCGUAAAGGGCGCGUAGGCGGAUAGAUAAGUCAGGUGUGAAAUCUCGGAGCUCAACUCCGAAACUGCGCCUGAAACUGUUUAUCUAGAAUGUCAGAGAGGGAGAGAGAAUUUCGCAUGUAGGAGUAAAAUCCGUAGAGAUGCGAAGGAAUACCAGAGGCGAAGGCGCUUUCCUGGAUGACAAUUGACGCUGAGGCGCGAAAGCGUGGGGAGCAAAC
Molecule: ribosomal RNA, 426 nt
Filed under: uncultured bacterium
Lineage: Bacteria
Description: bacterial SSU rRNA
Rfam family: Bacterial small subunit ribosomal RNA
Source: RNAcentral